CAAGUCGAACGCGAAAGUUCCCUUCGGGGGACAAGUAGAGUGGCGCACGGGUGAGUAACACGUAGGUAAUCUACCUUCGGGUGGGGAAUAACAACCGGAAACGGUUGCUAAUACCGCAUAAUGCAGCGGCACCUAAUGGUGACAGUUGUUAAAGCGGGGGAUCGAAAGAUCUCGCGCCUGAAGAGGAGCCUGCGGCGGAUUAGCUAGUUGGUAGGGUAACGGCCUACCAAGGCGACGAUCCGUAGCCGGCCUGAGAGGGCGGUCGGCCACACUGACACUGACAUACGGGUCAGACUCCUACGGGAGGCAGCAGUCGGGAAUUUUGGGCAAUGGGCGAAAGCCUGACCCAGCAACGCCGCGUGAAGGAUGAAAUCCCUCGGGAUGUAAACUUCGCAAGAACGGGAAGAAUAAGUCUAUGUUAAUACCAUAGGCGAUGACGGUACCGUUUGUAAGCUCCGGCUAACUCCGUGCCAGCAGCCGCGGUAAUACGGGGGGAGCAAGCGUUGUUCGGAUUUACUGGGCGUAAAGGGCGCGUAGGCGGCCACCGCAAGUCAGUUGUGAAAUCUCCGAGCUUAACUCGGAAAGGUCAACUGAUACUGCGGGGCUAGAGUGCGGAAGGGGCAACUGGAAUUCUUGGUGUAGCGGUGAAAUGCGUAGAUAUCAAGAGGAACACCUGCGGCGAAGGCGGGUUGCUGGGCCGACACUGACGCUGAGGCGCGAAAGCUAGGGGAGCGAACGGGAUUAGAUACCCCGGUAGUCCUAGCCUUAAACGAUGAAUGCUUGGUGUCUGGGGUUAUAUAGUCCCC
This 806-nucleotide ribosomal RNA is filed under the name uncultured Actinomycetes bacterium. RNAcentral's name for it is "bacterial SSU rRNA". It matches the Rfam family "Bacterial small subunit ribosomal RNA", at positions 58 to 840 of the family's 1533-position model. Lineage: Bacteria; Bacillati; Actinomycetota; Actinomycetes. The record is from RNAcentral.